RNAcentral lists this ribosomal RNA (467 nucleotides) under uncultured bacterium. Its description in RNAcentral is "partial 16S ribosomal RNA". It matches the Rfam family "Bacterial small subunit ribosomal RNA", at positions 28 to 506 of the family's 1533-position model. The record is from RNAcentral.
GACGAACGCUGGCGGUGUGCUUAACACAUGCAAGUCGAACGGUAAGGCCCUUUCGGGGGUACACGAGUGGCGAACGGGUGAGUAACACGUGAGUAACCUGCCCUCAUCUCUGGGAUAACAGUCGGAAACGGUUGCUAAUACUGGAUAUGAGCUUGCAAGGCAUCUUGUGGGUUGGAAAGAUUUUUUUUGGUUGGGGAUGGACUCGCGGCCUAUCAGCUUGUUGGUGAGGUAGUGGCUCACCAAGGCUUCGACGGGUAGCCGGCCUGAGAGGGCGACCGGCCACAUUGGGACUGAGAUACGGCCCAAACUCCUACGGGAGGCAGCGGUGGGGAAUAUUGCACAAUGGACGGAAGUCUGAUGCAGCAACGCCGCGUGCGGGAUGACGGCCUUCGGGUUGUAAACCGCUUUCAAUUGUGACGAAGCUUUUUUGUGACGGUAGCAGUAGAAGAAGCACCGGCUAACUACGU